AAAGCAUUUGCUGAAGGAGCUAGAGCAAGCUCUCCACCUCUUCCUCUGACUGUAUUAGUUGUUCAAGAUCACGUAGGGAUAUCAAAUUUUGCACAACCAGAUUGUCCACUACGGUUGCUGCCUAUUCAAAUGUCAGAUAAUGGAACACAUCAUGACCAACCCACCAAUGUCUUGACUGAAGCUUUGAUUCAUGAUCAUAUCAACAACCUUCGGUUCAGCAUAUCCCCAACAGCAUUCUUUCGGUUUAAUACCGGCGCCGCAGAGAAGUUGUAUUCACUUGCUGGAGAUUGGGCUGAUCUUUGUCUUGACACUUUACUCUUUGAUGUAUAUUGUGGAACUGGAACAAUUGGUCUUACACUGGCACAUCGUGUCCG
This is a long non-coding RNA of Brassica oleracea var. oleracea, 374 nucleotides long. RefSeq lists it as uncharacterized. Lineage: Eukaryota; Viridiplantae; Streptophyta; Magnoliopsida; Brassicales; Brassicaceae. The transcript is spliced from 3 exons. The record is from RefSeq and is a predicted model, not a curated record.